This 254-nucleotide ribosomal RNA is filed under the name uncultured beta proteobacterium. RNAcentral describes it as "partial 16S ribosomal RNA". It matches the Rfam family "Bacterial small subunit ribosomal RNA", at positions 1176 to 1430 of the family's 1533-position model. Lineage: Bacteria; Pseudomonadati; Pseudomonadota; Betaproteobacteria. The record is from RNAcentral.
GGGAUGACGUCAAGUCCUCAUGGCCCUUAUAGGUGGGGCUACACACGUCAUACAAUGGCUGGUACAAAGGGUUGCCAACCCGCGAGGGGGAGCUAAUCCCAUAAAGCCAGUCGUAGUCCGGAUCGCAGUCUGCAACUCGACUGCGUGAAGUCGGAAUCGCUAGUAAUCGUGGAUCAGAAUGUCACGGUGAAUACGUUCCCGGGUCUUGUACACACCGCCCGUCACACCAUGGAGCGGGUUCUGCCAGAAGUAGU